GACGAACGCUGGCGGCGUGCUUAACACAUGCAAGUCGAACGCUGAAGCUCAGCUUGCUGGGUGGAUGAGUGGCGAACGGGUGAGUAACACGUGAGUAACCUGCCCUCUUCUUUGGGAUAACGCCCGGAAACGGGUGCUAAUACUGGAUAUUCACUGAUUCUCGCAUGGGGGUUGGUGGAAAGGUUUUUUCUGGUGGGGGAUGGGCUCGCGGCCUAUCAGCUUGUUGGUGGGGUGAUGGCCUACCAAGGCUUUGACGGGUAGCCGGCCUGAGAGGGUGACCGGUCACAUUGGGACUGAGAUACGGCCCAGACUCCUACGGGAGGCAGCAGUGGGGAAUAUUGCACAAUGGGCGAAAGCCUGAUGCAGCGACGCCGCGUGAGGGAUGGAGGCCUUCGGGUUGUAAACCUCUUUCGCUCAUAGUCAAGCCGCAGCUUUGGGUUGUGGUGAGGGUAGUGGGUAAAGAAGCGCCGGCUAACUACGUG
RNAcentral lists this ribosomal RNA (482 nucleotides) under uncultured bacterium. RNAcentral's name for it is "partial 16S ribosomal RNA". It matches the Rfam family "Bacterial small subunit ribosomal RNA", at positions 28 to 507 of the family's 1533-position model. The record is from RNAcentral.